RNAcentral lists this ribosomal RNA (253 nucleotides) under uncultured bacterium. RNAcentral's name for it is "partial 16S ribosomal RNA". It matches the Rfam family "Bacterial small subunit ribosomal RNA", at positions 524 to 776 of the family's 1533-position model. The record is from RNAcentral.
UACGUAGGGGGCAAGCGUUGUCCGGAUUUACUGGGCGUAAAGAGCGUGUAGGCGGCCACGCAGGUCCGUUGUGAAAACUGGAGGCUCAACUUCCAGCCGUCGACGGAAACCGUGUGGCUAGAGUCCGGAAGAGGAGAGUGGAAUUCCUGGUGUAGCGGUGAAAUGCGCAGAUAUCAGGAAGAACACCCGUGGCGAAGGCGGCUCUCUAGUACGGUACUGACGCUGAGACGCGAAAGCGUGGGGAGCGAACAGG